CCUACGGGAGGCAGCAGUGAGGAAUAUUGGUCAAUGGACGAGAGUCUGAACCAGCCAAGUAGCGUGAAGGAUGACUGCCCUAUGGGUUGUAAACUUCUUUUAUAUGGGAAUAAAAUGUUCCACGUGUGGGAUUUUGUAUGUACCAUAUGAAUAAGGAUCGGCUAACUCCGUGCCAGCAGCCGCGGUAAUACGGAGGAUCCGAGCGUUAUCCGGAUUUAUUGGGUUUAAAGGGAGCGUAGGUGGAUUGUUAAGUCAGUUGUGAAAGUUUGCGGCUCAACCGUAAAAUUGCAGUUGAAACUUGCAGUCUUGAGUACAGUAGAGGUGGGCGGAAUUCGUGGUGUAGCGGUGAAAUGCUUAGAGAUCACGAAGAACUCCGAUUGCGAAGGCAGUUCACUGGACUGCAACUGACACUGAGGCUCGAAAGUGUGGGUAUCAAACAGGAUUAGAUACCCCAGUAGUC
This 460-nucleotide ribosomal RNA is filed under the name uncultured bacterium. RNAcentral's name for it is "partial 16S ribosomal RNA". It matches the Rfam family "Bacterial small subunit ribosomal RNA", at positions 338 to 795 of the family's 1533-position model. The record is from RNAcentral.